RNAcentral lists this unclassified non-coding RNA (272 nucleotides) under plant metagenome. Its description in RNAcentral is "partial contains small subunit ribosomal RNA, internal transcribed spacer 1, and 5.8S ribosomal RNA". The record is from RNAcentral.
UUUCCGUAGGUGAACCUGCGGAAGGAUCAUUAAUGAGUUGUCAUGGGGUUCGAUGCUGGCAGCCAGUUUUUGGAUGCAUGUGCUUGCCCUAACAAUCAUCUUCUUCCAAACACCUGAGCACAUUUUUGAGGGAGUCUUGAGUUGGUUGCCGCUCUUGGGUGAUUUUCUCACAUUCCCUUAAAUCAUUAUACGCUAUUAACAAUGUUGAACGUGCUCUGUGCCGCAAGGCCAUUAAUAUAAUACAACUUUUAACAACGGAUCUCUUGGCUCUC